Molecule: ribosomal RNA, 301 nt
Filed under: uncultured bacterium
Lineage: Bacteria
Description: partial 16S ribosomal RNA
Rfam family: Bacterial small subunit ribosomal RNA
Source: RNAcentral
CAGUCGCCACGGUAAUACAGAGGGUGCGAGCGUUAAUCGGAUUUACUGGGCGUAAAGCGUGCGUAGGCGGCUAAUUGAGUCGGAUGUGAAAUCCCCGAGCUUAACUUGGGAAUUGCAUUCGAUACUGGUUAGCUAGAGUGUGGGAGAGGAUGGUAGAAUUCCAGGUGUAGCGGUGAAAUGCGUAGAGAUCUGGAGGAAUACCGAUGGCGAAGGCAGCCAUCUGGCCUAACACUGACGCUGAGGUACGAAAGCAUGGGGAGCAAACAGGAUUAGAGACCCCCGUAGUCCCUGUCUCUUAUAC